This 321-nucleotide ribosomal RNA is filed under the name Triticum aestivum (bread wheat). RNAcentral's name for it is "partial small subunit ribosomal RNA". The record is from RNAcentral. Lineage: Eukaryota; Viridiplantae; Streptophyta; Magnoliopsida; Poales; Poaceae.
AUGGGUUACUACCUUGCGGAUGGAAUCUAUCCACCAUGGGCCACCUUGGUCAAAACAAUUUCACGUCCAAAAGGUAACAAAAACAUUCACUUUGCCCGAUGUCAAGAAGUUGCUAGGAAAGAUGUUGGGAGAGCCUUCGGUGUGUUUCAGAAGUGCUUUGCAAUUGUUCGUGGCCAUGUCGAGUACUGGACCUCCAAGGUUCUAUGGCUGACCCUGACUUGUUGCAUCAUAUUGCAUAACAUGAUCAUUGGAGAUGAGAGGGAUAUGCCUGAGAACUUUCGGUACAUCACCAACGGGACUCCGGUUGAGCCAGAGACAUGA